GUGGCGUAUAAAUCGAGUUUUGAUGAUGACCAACAACUCGUAACAGCAAGCACCGAAGUCUGCACAUUACAGAGAUGCGCAUGCGCACUGUUUUUACUUCUGAUUGGUCUAGGCUGCCUGAUCGGUGCUGGUAUCGGUCUCUACAUUCAUAUUAAUAACCAGACAGAUCCUACUUUGAUCAUCACAGCAGUAGGCCACCCAUAUGGGAAUGACGCCCUUUAUCCGCCAGACUUCCACAGGCCAUCUCGCUUCGGUGGCCACAUGGAUCGUCACAUGCCUGAGAUUCACCACGGGUCACGUGGUUUCGAGCCGAUGCGACCACCACCACCACCACCUCACUUUCCCCACGGUCAUCCUCCCAUCAUGGAACGCCCCUUUGGUAAUGACGGUUUAGAACCCCCCUUCGGUCACGACGCGCUGGAACCUCCCGGCCCUGACGGUCCCCGGACUCGCUUACACGAGAGACCCCCUGCUCCACCGGGACCUCUCCCUGGUGGUCCCCCGCACGGCAGGCGGCCUGGAUCAGAAGGUUCCCGUAGGCUCGGACCUGGGUACGACCUACACCACGGCGGACCCGUAGAUCACGAGCACGCUAGACGACGGGGGAAAGUCAACAGAGCUUACUAUCAUAACAACCUACCAUAAUCGACACAUCCUUAGAUCUUGAAGAUUGUCAGCUUUCUUAUCGUGGAGGGCGCUCUUCAAUCUUUCCUUUCUUCCGGUCACAGACAAGAGUUUAUGGCUCCUCGUGACGUCACUUCACCACCACUCCACAGUAUGGCGGUCUAUACAGAGGGUUUGGCCAAAUAAGUUUAAGUUGGAUACAACAUGGCGUCUAUUCUUCUGUUUUGUGAUUGUCCCACAGUACAGUAUCCGCCUUAUUGUGCCCGAAUCAUUGCGGGUUGGCCAAACUGUUCUAGUCAAUGGCUCUGGUUACCGAUAUCAUAGAGCGACCUCAACGGCCAGGGAUGGGCGCACUGACAUUACAUUUUAAUCACUAAGAAGUGCCUUGUAUAUUUGUUGUAUAUUACAGAUUUCAUUACAGUUUACAAAUUUUAAACUUCUUUUUGGAUUCGGGCUAUCGUGUCUAUGCCGAUGACUUGGAAAUUAGUUGUAGAUACGAAAACUGCUGAACGUAUAGUUACGAGGUUAUUUCAGCAUUUCCUUUUCCUUCCAAGCUUGUAAUAUGAAAUUGAGUUUAAAAAUAAAUAUUUCCUCCAUUUUGUAUGAUGUAUCUCAUGCUAUCGCUCAUAAGAAAAAAAACAACACACAACAUGAUAAAGAUUUAGUAGAGUUCUGGUCAAAAGAUAAUAAUAUUGUUAAAGAAACUGAAACUAAUGAGGAAAAAUGUAUUGGUAUAUAAAUGUGAUGUUUAAGAAUAACAAAAAUGAUUAUAAAUUAAUUUAUGCUCGCCGACAUGGACAUAUAAAUGUGUAUAUGAGACUACCCACUUUGGAGUGAAUGUUUGGCCACAUUUGCAGCUACUUCUCACCUUAAAUAUUAUUAAAGUUUGUCUGGUUACAAUAAAUUUACAUAAUCUCUCUUUAUAUUUGUAUACACAAACAUAAAUCUGACAUAUAAGUUAACCUUUAAUAGAACGCAAACUUCUCUCACGCAAACUACUCCGGUUGACGUUCCGAUGUAGAUAACUCUAAUUAGAAAGCAAGUCUGAAUGUUCUGUUAACACAAUUCUAAGGCUAUUAUUGGACAGACAUAACUGCGAUAUUCGCAUGAAAACUUGAAAGAAUUAUUUGGAAAUACAGAGAAUCGAGGGGGAACAUAAAAACAACCUCGUAGGCCUAUCAUACGUGAUCUCAAAUCAGAAUAUUGGUCUGACUAUCAUUUUCAUGUUGACCGUGCGUUCGGACCUCACACUCGUUAUAAUGACGUCAUAAAGAGUAGAGGCAAAGCAUUAGCGGAAAUGGUAAAGACUUUCACGGGGGCAAAGUCAUUCAAAAACAUAAUAUUUUAAAUAAAGAGUAAGAACGUAUUAAUUCCAAAAUAUUGUGCAAUACAUUACAUAUGAUCUUGAUCGAUCACAUAUAUAUGACGUCAUCCAUGGUAUAGUGCCAUGGUAUUUUACACUAUACCAUGGAUGACGUCACGGUUACAUCAUAGCAAUUUUAUGUUUGGUCACAUGAUGCUAUGUUGACCAAUCACUGGAGAGAAUUUCAUUGGUCAAAAAUAUAUUGUGCACUAUAUUACAUAUAAUCGUAUGUAAAUGAAUAUGAAUCCUUUCAGUUAUUUGAAUAUAAUGUACAGAAAGCAUGAAAUAUAACAUUGGUAAAUUUCGUUGAAUAUUAUUGCAUGUGAAAUGAAAUAUAUAUGUUGUACAUACAGUAGGGCACUUUUAGCGAUCAUGUUAUGAUCAAACUCACGUAAGAGUUGAUGCACCUUUUUUUUAAAUGUAAAUAGUCCCCCUCCAAAAAGUUAAGCGACUCUAGUUAAAUUAAUGAUAUUUCUCUUGUCAUAAGAUGAUCAUCACUUUGUUUGGGAUUAUUAUAAACUAUGCUUAUUAUAUUUAUAAUAAUGACACCAUAUUUGAUAGGAUUCUGCAGCCAAGGAAUCAGCAGUAUAUCAUAAUAAGGGGGUAGUCAGAAAUAAUAAUGACGUCACGAAGAGUAGAAGCAAAACACGUUGGCUGAAAUGGUAAGAUCUUUCUUAGGGGCAAAGUCAUGCAAAAAAAAUAAGAUAUUGAAUAAAGGGUAAAAACAUAUUAAUUCAAAAAAUGUUGUGCAAUAUAUUAUUGAUAUUGUUGUAUCGUGCACUACAGAGCAGCCGUACACUCGUCAAAGAAAGAAUAAUGCACAGCCAAACAAUAUUAGUGCAUUCUGCUAUGUUUUACUUUUAAUCUCGCCCCUUAUUUUGAUGUAAAGCACAUUCCAUGAUUACAAAUCAUAACAAUUCAAGCAAGAAUAACGAAACUUUUUAAUAAUACUUAAAGGGAGUAUAUCAUGAUGGGACUAUGUGUCAACACACGCGAAACCGAAGCGUGAGUAGAACUUCGGUCCGUUUCGCGAACGCUAGCGCGCGCUGACCCAGUUAAUCAAGUCCAUUCGUUUACGUGUAGUUGUCCAAAAGAACACGUAGAUGGCGUUAAUCAGUAUUUCCUAUGAUACACUCCCUUUAACGGUACGAUGGUUAUGGUUAUGAAAGUGAGAUAUAAUUAAUCAAAUUUGAGAUUCCAAACUUUAUUUGAUGAAUUUAGUUUAUUCCACUGACUUAAUUACAUGCCGCAUGAGUUGCAUGGAAAUGGAAAAACAGUAAGGAUACAAUCCCAGUUUAGCAGUUGUUCUUUGAUCAUUCUUAGAAACAGAAAUUCCAAUAUCAAUAAUCAUACAAGAUCGUCUUUAUUGUUUAAUGUGCACAUUAUUAUGUUAUAGCGUGUAAUUAUAUAUGUUUCUUCUGUAGUUAUUUAGCACGUAAAUAUUAUUUCGGUAGUAGCUAAUUUUUGUAAAUAAAAUGUCUUGAUCUAAGAGAAUUUAUUAAAUUGUACAAACAAUCUA
This 3506-nucleotide long non-coding RNA is filed under the name Strongylocentrotus purpuratus (purple sea urchin). RNAcentral describes it as "uncharacterized LOC115927176". Lineage: Eukaryota; Metazoa; Echinodermata; Echinoidea; Camarodonta; Strongylocentrotidae. The record is from RNAcentral.